UCUUCCUGGAGAUCCUUGUGUACCUGAAGCCUUCUGAAGGUUGCAGCUCCUCCCAGUGUCUGCUGAUCUCUAAGAAUGCUAAAUAAUAAGAUGUGCAGGCCUCUUCCCAGAGAACUGUAGAUGCAGCUAUGUCCCUUCUCUGCGUUUGUCAUGUUACUGCUCCUACACACAUCUAAAUUCAGCUCUAUCAGCUCUCAAAUUUAACUUCAAUGUGAGCAGCUUGAUUUGGCUUUAGCAAUGCAAGAAAAUUCCACUCACAGUUCUGCCCAGUGCUAUGUAUUGCAUUGCCAGAGCACUGUCACCCAGCACGCUCUCCCCUUAUAGCAGCUGUACUGCAUCAAUCCACCCAGCAGGAGGGUCAGCAUUGCUCCCAGUAAAGAAGAGUUUUAGUGAGCUGAAGCAACCAUCCAGCCAACAGCAGAGAUGGAGUCAGAUUCCUGGGUCCCACAAAGUCAUCUGUCAGCAUCAGACUUGGAGAGCUGGAUAAGCUGUUCAAAGAACCCCACUUUGACCUUGGAUGCCCAGAAGGCUCUUUUCACUCAGAAGUGUGAAGUUUUGGAUCCUGAUGACAAAUGCUGCGGACAGCCCAACCUGGAUGAGUGGGAAGGCUAGAGGACAUCCAUGCUGUUGGGCUGUCAUCUUGGGAAUUAGAUGUUUGGAAGCUGCACUUCACCUCCCCAAAAGGUUGGGGAAGUUUGGUGGAAGAUAGCGAUGUGGCAAACGGUGCUUUAGUACUGCUGCUCUCCCAAGGAAUGCUUCCUGAGUGCCAGCAGCCUGCUUUUCACCGCUUCUCAGGAGAGCCAAGAAGAGAAAUCAAGCUGCAGUUGUCAGCCUGCUUCUUCCUCUCUGGUCCAACAGCAUUGUAAGAGUUCCCUCGUGAUGGUUUGUGCACAGAACCUCCUUCAGAGCUUCACAGCAUCCCCUUUCAAGCGACUCACAGAGCCCACAAAAGAGCCUCCCUUAGGCCUUUGGUCUUGUUUCAACACCAUGGCAUGAGUGUGACCCCAAAUGGAGGUCAUUAGAGCUAAUUACUAAAUCACUUAGUACAAACACAGAAGGUAUGACCACACCGAUGUUCACGUGGAGAUCUGGAGGCUGUGCUGACAGCACCCACCUGGCACAGCCCAGCAGUGACAGCCACCAGCCUGCAGGCCCACCAGCAGGCUGAACUGGGAAUUCCCUCAGCUCUGUUUCACCCUGCUGCUGAAACAACAGAGUUUGCGUUGUUAAUCAGACCAGGACUGCACCGGAGGAGUGGGCUGCAAUGCCUGGCUGCAUGAAGGGGGGACAGAUGGCUUCACAGCCGCAGCUCUGUUACAAGCACUGCGAAAACCAUGCAAGCUUUCAUUCUCCAGCUGCAAAACCAGAGCACUUUAGGAUAAAUAUACCAGCAAUUCUAACCAAAGCAGCACCCUUAUCCCUGAUGGUCCGGGUAGCAGGAGGAAGAGCAGCCUCAGCACGGCCCCGUGCUGGCACAAGCAGUCAGGGUGAGCGCAUCCCUCCCUGCUCUCCUGCACAGUGCCAGUGUCCGAGGCGCAGUUCUGUGCAUGCUUGUGUCAGGCUCUGCAGAGGAGCGCAGCCUAUGGGAGCUCGUGCCUAUCGGGCACUGCCGGGAGUAACUGCACGGAGCGACGGAGACAACUUCAGGUACGGAACGGCACAGCUCUUCCCAACGCUCCAGCCUCCAUCCGCCCUUCUCCAGGCAUCCCGGAGCUCGCAGCCCCCCUCGAUUCCUCACCGGCUCUUUUGUCUACGGCCGACCGAAGCCCAUCCCGCGCGGAUGCGGGCAGGCCGAGCCUCCCUCCCGUCCCGCAGAGCCUCCU
Lagopus leucura (white-tailed ptarmigan) is the source of this 1823-nucleotide long non-coding RNA. RefSeq lists it as uncharacterized. Lineage: Eukaryota; Metazoa; Chordata; Aves; Galliformes; Phasianidae. The record is from RefSeq and is a predicted model, not a curated record. The transcript has 3 exons.